UACGUAGGGGGCUAGCGUUGUCCGGAAUCAUUGGGCGUAAAGAGCGUGUAGGCGGUCCGGUAAGUCCGCUGUGAAAGUCGGGGGCUCAACCCUCGAAUGCCGGUGGAUACUGUCGGGCUAGAGUGCGGAAGAGGCGAGUGGAAUUCCUGGUGUAGCGGUGAAAUGCGCAGAUAUCGAGAGGAACACCUGCGGCGAAGGCGGUUCUCUGGGACGGUACUGACGCUGAGGCGCGAAAGCGUGGGGAGCGAACAGG
This 253-nucleotide ribosomal RNA is filed under the name uncultured bacterium. Its description in RNAcentral is "partial 16S ribosomal RNA". It matches the Rfam family "Bacterial small subunit ribosomal RNA", at positions 524 to 776 of the family's 1533-position model. The record is from RNAcentral.